CCUACGGGAGGCAGCAGUGAGGAAUAUUGGUCAAUGGCCGAGAGGCUGAACCAGCCAAGUCGCGUGAGGGAAGACGGCCCUACGGGCUGUAAACCUCUUUUGUCGGGGAGCAAAGCGAGUCACGUGUGACGCAUUUAGAGUACCCGAAGAAAAAGCAUCGGCUAACUCGGUGCCAGCAGCCGCGGUAAUACGGAGGAUGCGAGCGGUAUCCGGAUUGAUUGGGUUAAAGGGGUGCGCAGGGGGAGGUGCAAUUCAGCGGUAAAAUUGCGGGGCUCAACCCCGUACUGCCGUUGAAACUGCAUCCCUUGAGUGCGCGAGAGGUAUGCGGAAUGCGUGGUGUAGCGGUGAAAUGCAUAGAUAUCACGCAGAACUCCGGUUGCGAAGGCAGCAUACCGGCGCGCAACUGACGCUCAUGCACGAAAGCGUGGGUAUCGAACAGGAUUAGAUACCCCGGUAGUC
Molecule: ribosomal RNA, 459 nt
Filed under: uncultured bacterium
Lineage: Bacteria
Description: partial 16S ribosomal RNA
Rfam family: Bacterial small subunit ribosomal RNA
Source: RNAcentral